GACGAACGCUGGCGGCGUGCUUAACACAUGCAAGUCGAGCGGUAAGGCCCUUUCGGGGGUACGACGAGCGGCGAACGGGUGAGUAACACGUGGGUGACCUGCCCUCAGCUCUGGGAGUAAGCCCGGGAAACGUAGGGUCUAAUACCGGAUAUGACUCCAUGACGCAUGUUGUGGGGUGGAAAGCCUUGUGCGGCUGAGGAUGGGCCCGGCGGCCUAUCAGCUUGUUGGUGGGGUGAUGGCCUACCAAGGCGACGACGGGUAGCCGGCCUGAGAGGGCGACCGGCCACACUGGGACUGAGACACGGCCC
RNAcentral lists this ribosomal RNA (308 nucleotides) under uncultured bacterium. RNAcentral describes it as "bacterial SSU rRNA". It matches the Rfam family "Bacterial small subunit ribosomal RNA", at positions 28 to 332 of the family's 1533-position model. The record is from RNAcentral.